This 716-nucleotide ribosomal RNA is filed under the name uncultured bacterium. Its description in RNAcentral is "bacterial SSU rRNA". It matches the Rfam family "Bacterial small subunit ribosomal RNA", at positions 62 to 759 of the family's 1533-position model. The record is from RNAcentral.
UCGACGCGAAGAUCCCGCAAGGGAUUUGUAGCGUGGCAAACGGGUGAGUAACACGUGGGUGACCUGCCUUCGAGCGGGGGAUAACGUCCCGAAAGGGACGCUAAUACCGCAUAACAUCCUGCCUUUGAAGAGGUGGAGAUCAAAGCUGAGGAUCGCAAGACUUAGCACUCGAAGAGGGGCCCGCGCCUGAUUAGCUAGUUGGUAGGGUAAUGGCUCACCAAGGCAACGAUCAGUAUCCGGCCUGAGAGGGCGGACGGACACACUGGGACUGAGACACGGCCCAGACUCCUACGGGAGGCAGCAGUGGGGAAUUGUUCGCAAUGGGCGCAAGCCUGACGACGCAACGCCGCGUGGAGGAUGAAGAUCUUCGGGUCGUAAACUCCUUUCGAUCGAGACGAACGGCUUCCGGGCUAAUCACCGGGAGAGUGACGGUACCGAGAGAAGAAGCCCCGGCUAACUCCGUGCCAGCAGCCGCGGUAAUACGGGGGGGGCAAGCGUUGUUCGGAAUUACUGGGCGUAAAGGGCUCGUAGGCGGCCAACUAAGUCAGACGUGAAAUCCCUCGGCUUAACCGGGGAACUGCGUCUGAUACUGGAUGGCUGGAGUUUGGGAGAGGGAUGCGGAAUUCCAGGUGUAGCGGUGAAAUGCGUAGAUAUCUGGAGGAACACCGGUGGCGAAGGCGGCAUCCUGGACCAAUACUGACGCUGAGGAGCGAAAG